This 426-nucleotide ribosomal RNA is filed under the name Triticum aestivum (bread wheat). RNAcentral's name for it is "partial small subunit ribosomal RNA". The record is from RNAcentral. Lineage: Eukaryota; Viridiplantae; Streptophyta; Magnoliopsida; Poales; Poaceae.
AUGCAACGACUCGGUUUCCCACCACGGUGGAGAGAUUGGGUGGCGUUGCUCCUCUCCUCGGCUUCCUCAACCUGUCUCCUCAACGGCGCGGAGGGAGCCAUCAUCCAGCACCAGCGUGGCUUACGGCAAGGCGACCCGCUGUCCCCUUUCCUCUUUAUCCUCGUGAUAGAUCCUCUUCACCGCCUGAUCGCCGCGGCCACGCGAGCCGGCGCCCUCGCCCCGCUCCCAACGGGUGUGGUGGGGCUGCGGGUUAGCUUAUAUGUGGAUGACGCUGUCGUUUUCGUCAACCCAAGUAGACAGGAUGUGGAUGGGCUCAUGGAGCUGUUGCAGGGUUUUGGCAAAGCGACGGGGCUGAACCUGAACCAGGCGAAAUCGACCGUGGCACCCAUCAGGUGCUCUGGCAUCGACCUGCAGCACGUUUUGUAG